CCUACGGGAGGCAGCAGUGGGGAAUAUUGCACAAUGGGCGAAAGCCUGAUGCAGCGACGCCGCGUGAGGGAUGACGGCCUUCGGGUUGUAAACCUCUUUCAGCAGGGAAGAAGCGAAAGUGACGGUACCUGCAGAAGAAGCGCCGGCUAACUACGUGCCAGCAGCCGCGGUAAUACGUAGGGCGCAAGCGUUGUCCGGAAUUAUUGGGCGUAAAGAGCUCGUAGGCGGCUUGUUGCGUCGGUUGUGAAAGCCCGGGGCUUAACCCCGGGUCUGCAGUCGAUACGGGCAGGCUAGAGUGUGGUAGGGGAGAUCGGAAUUCCUGGUGUAGCGGUGAAAUGCGCAGAUAUCAGGAGGAACACCGGUGGCGAAGGCGGAUCUCUGGGCCAUUACUGACGCUGAGGAGCGAAAGCGUGGGGAGCGAACAGGAUUAGAUACCCUGGUAGUCCACGCCGUAAACGGUGGGAACUAGGUGUUGGCGACAUUCCACGUCGUCGGUGCGCNGCACGCAUAGUUACCCGUCCGUCGGGAGGUACGGCCGCGAGGACGUAAACGUUAAAGUAGAAGUUAAGUACGGCGUUGAGACGUUGCCGACGGCGACGACGAGGGAGGAGG
This 612-nucleotide ribosomal RNA is filed under the name uncultured bacterium. RNAcentral's name for it is "bacterial SSU rRNA". The stretch from base 1 to 520 matches the Rfam family "Bacterial small subunit ribosomal RNA", at positions 338 to 873 of the family's 1533-position model. The record is from RNAcentral.